RNAcentral lists this ribosomal RNA (125 nucleotides) under uncultured bacterium. RNAcentral describes it as "partial 16S ribosomal RNA". It matches the Rfam family "Bacterial small subunit ribosomal RNA", at positions 1379 to 1500 of the family's 1533-position model. The record is from RNAcentral.
CCUUGUACACACCGCCCGUCACACCAUGGGAGUUGGUUCUACCCGAAGGCGCUGCGCUAACCCGCAAGGGAGGUAGGCGACCACGGUAGGGUCAGCGACUGGGGUGAAGUCGUAAACAAGGUACC